Molecule: ribosomal RNA, 424 nt
Filed under: Verrucomicrobiota bacterium
Lineage: Bacteria; Pseudomonadati; Verrucomicrobiota
Description: Verrucomicrobia bacterium partial 16S ribosomal RNA
Rfam family: Bacterial small subunit ribosomal RNA
Source: RNAcentral
UGAGGAAUAUUGGUCAAUGGGCGAGAGCCUGAACCAGCCAAGUAGCGUGCAGGAUGACGGCCCUAUGGGUUGUAAACUGCUUUUAUAUGGGAAUAAAGUGAGGGACGUGUCCCUUAUUGCAUGUACCAUAUGAAUAAGGACCGGCUAAUUCCGUGCCAGCAGCCGCGGUAAUACGGAAGGUCCAGGCGUUAUCCGGAUUUAUUGGGUUUAAAGGGAGCGUAGGCUGUUUGUUAAGCGUGUUGUGAAAUGUAAGAGCUCAACUUUUAGAUUGCAUCGCGAACUGGCAGACUUGAGUGCGCACAACGUAGGCGGAAUUCAUUGUGUAGCGGUGAAAUGCUUAGAUAUCAUGACGAACUCCGAUUGCGAAGGCAGCUUACGGGAGCGCAACUGACGCUAAAGCUCGAAGGUGCGGGUAUCGAACAGG